RNAcentral lists this ribosomal RNA (468 nucleotides) under uncultured bacterium. RNAcentral's name for it is "partial 16S ribosomal RNA". It matches the Rfam family "Bacterial small subunit ribosomal RNA", at positions 28 to 507 of the family's 1533-position model. The record is from RNAcentral.
GACGAACGCUGGCGGCGUGCUUAACACAUGCAAGUCGAACGGAAAGGCCCUGCUUUUGUGGGGUGCUCGAGUGGCGAACGGGUGAGUAACACGUGAGUAACCUGCCCUUGACUUUGGGAUAACUUCAGGAAACUGGGGCUAAUACCGGAUAGGAGCUCCUGCUGCAUGGUGGGGGUUGGAAAGUUUCGGCGGUUGGGGAUGGACUCGCGGCUUAUCAGCUUGUUGGUGGGGUAGUGGCUUACCAAGGCUUUGACGGGUAGCCGGCCUGAGAGGGUGACCGGCGACAUGGGGACUGAGAUACGGCCCAGACUCCUACGGGAGGCAGCAGUGGGGAAUCUUGCACAAUGGGCGGAAGCCUGAUGCAGCAACGCCGCGGGCGGGAUGACGGCCUUCGGGUUGUAAACCGCUUUCGCCUGUGACGAAGCGUGAGUGACGGUAAUGGGUAAAGAAGCACCGGCUAACUACGUG